RNAcentral lists this transfer RNA (57 nucleotides) under Ovis aries (sheep). It matches the Rfam family "tRNA", at positions 8 to 63 of the family's 71-position model. From Rfam's summary of the family: Transfer RNA (tRNA) molecules are approximately 80 nucleotides in length. Their secondary structure includes four short double-helical elements and three loops (D, anti-codon, and T loops). Further hydrogen bonds mediate the characteristic L-shaped molecular structure. tRNAs have two regions of fundamental functional importance: the anti-codon, which is responsible for specific mRNA codon recognition, and the 3' end, to which the tRNAs corresponding amino acid is attached (by aminoacyl-tRNA synthetases). tRNAs cope with the degeneracy of the genetic code in two manners: having more than one tRNA (with a specific anti-codon) for a particular amino acid; and 'wobble' base-pairing, i.e. permitting non-standard base-pairing at the 3rd anti-codon position. Lineage: Eukaryota; Metazoa; Chordata; Mammalia; Artiodactyla; Bovidae. The record is from Rfam by way of RNAcentral.
UAGCUUAGUUGGUAAAGAAUCUGCUUGCAAUGCAGGAGACCCGGGUUCGAUUCCUGG